UCUACGGGAGGCAGCAGUGGGGAAUAUUGCGCAAUGGGCGAAAGCCUGACGCAGCGACGCCGCGUGAGGGAUGAAGGUCUUCGGAUCGUAAACCUCUGUCAGCAGGGAAGAACGGUCACUGUGCUAAUCAGCAGUGAAUUGACGGUACCUGCAAAGGAAGCACCGGCUAACUCCGUGCCAGCAGCCGCGGUAAUACGGAGGGUGCGAGCGUUACUCGGAAUUACUGGGCGUAAAGCGCUCGUAGGCGGUAUGUCAAGUCAAGGGUGAAAUCCCCGCGCUCAACGUGGGAACUGCCUUUGAAACGGGCAAACUGGAGUGUGUGAGAGGAUAGUGGAAUUCCAGGUGUAGGAGUGAAAUCCGUAGAUAUCUGGAGGAACAUCAGUGGCGAAGGCGACUAUCUGGCACAUAACUGACGCUGAGGAGCGAAAGCGUGGGUAGCAAACAGGAUUAGAUACCCUAGUAGUC
Molecule: ribosomal RNA, 465 nt
Filed under: uncultured bacterium
Lineage: Bacteria
Description: partial 16S ribosomal RNA
Rfam family: Bacterial small subunit ribosomal RNA
Source: RNAcentral